UGUUCUUGUUCUUCAACACAUACAGUAUCUCUUGUCACUGAAGGAACAGACGUCGCGCCUGCUGAGGGUCUCUGGUGGUUUUCUCGGGUCUGCUGAGAGCUCAGUAAUGCAUGUGACCGGGGGGAACCUUUGUGUCCUGCGAUGGCCUUUCAGGCUAAGGUGAUAACAACUGUGCCUAAUUGUUUGGAAGGGAUCUGGGUGGAGGCCGUACUACAGCGGUGAAGUCAGAGCGAGGACAUGAGCUUCCAGGAUGUGGAUGUGGAGGUUUUUUUAAUUGUGUUUACCCUCAAUGCCCACGAAACCCUCCUUUUCUAUGUAAUGACACACCUUGUGACUAUAACUGCACCAUGUUAG
Molecule: long non-coding RNA, 354 nt
Filed under: Betta splendens (Siamese fighting fish)
Lineage: Eukaryota; Metazoa; Chordata; Actinopteri; Anabantiformes; Osphronemidae
Description: lncRNA (ENSBSLG00000023402.1)
Source: RNAcentral